CUGGUAUUAACAUCAGAGGAUGUCCAAGUCCAGCAGAGGAGAAGAACUCGCAUUUAGCAGGCAGCUCCUAUGUCCUGGGGCCUUCCCCACAGAAUUGCAACCUUCAUUACCACUGUGAGAGGUUCUCAUCCAUGUCUAAAAGGACAGAGGAGGAGAAGAGAGAAUUUGAGAGAGGGAGGAGAGCGACCCUUUGACUUGAAGGUCUCCUGGCUCACAAGACUGAUAGGGGCCCAGCCUGCUUCAGAGGCAGAGCCUGAAUUUCCAGUUCAGACCCAGAGUCCGGAGUUGGGAGUCAUGGAGGUAGUGGUGGGGAAAGUCUCUGAUGAAGCCCUCAUCACUGGAUAGACCUUACAUUGGGAGAUCCUGGUAAAAAAAGCUAUCAGACAAGAAAGAAACAAUGAAAGGGCGAUUGAGAAAACUUGAUCCUGCCUCUGAUUUUACUUGGGAAAACCCCAGCUCUACUCAGCUGAUAUUAAACUUCUAAUCGUGUUCGCAUCGAUCUGUCAGUAGAUUUAAGGUGUGGGCCUUAAUAAUGCCAAAGAAUAAAUGAGGAUAGAGAUACUAAUAAGAGAUAUGGAUUAAAUCUGCAUGGGGCCUUUGACUAAUGUAGAAUCAGAGUGAAGGAGUAGAAUGUAACUUGUUUGCCUGCCACUGCUCUGACACACAUACUGUAAUAAUAAUAAGGAUGGAGGGUAUAACACUGUUGAAAGUUUCCUUCUUUAAAAAAGAUGGCUCCAAAGUCCAGGGGAGAACGUGAAGAAGCAUACUUGACCUUAAUGACGGCUGCCGGUCUGUCUAGUGAAGUCCCAGUCAUGUCUAAGGCAAUGAACUUGACAGAGGAUUGGGGGGAGGGUGCUGGAGGGAGAGACCACCCAGCUUCAUACACCUCUCAGUUUCAUUCUUUCAGCAAAUAUUUAAAAAUGGAUAGCUAGUAUGUGCCAGGGACUGCUCCGGUACUCGGGACGUAUCAGUUGGAUGCUUUCUAGCACGGGAACAAAGGGGAAGGAGGGUUGGGAGGAAGGCAGUGGGAAGCAGACAACAAUAAGUGCAGUAAGUUUUAUAGUAUGUUAGAGGGGAAAUUGCUAUGAAAAUAAAAGUAGAGCAAGGGAAGGGAAGGGAAGAGUCUGAGGGGCGUGGGUGGGUAGAGGCUGGUCUCCUGGAGAAGAUGAGAACUGAGCCAAGACUCAAAAGAGGUGAGGAGAUUAGCCAGGCAGAUGCCUGGGGGAGUAGUGGCCUAGGCAGAAGAGUGUGUCUGGCGUGGUAUAGUUUUAGAGGAAGAGCAAGGAGGCAGGUGAGACCGAAGGGGAGUGAGCAAGGGGACAGUCGUAGGAGACGAGGCCGUUUCUAAAGGAAAUGGGCCCAUGGCACUUUAGGCCUUGUAGGCCAGUUUGAGGACUUUGGUUUUCAUUCUGUCGGAAAUGGGGAGCCAUUGCAAGUUUUUGAGCAGAGAAGUGAUGGAAUGGCUUUGUUUUUAAAGGAUCAGUGGACUGCUGAGUUCGAAAUAGACCCUGAGGGGCCUGGGUAGAAGCAGAGUAACCUGUUAGGAGGCUAUUGGAGUCAUCCAGCUCAGGGGGGAGGGGAUAGCUCAGUGGUAGAGUGCGUGCUUAGCAUGCAUGACGUCCUGGGUUCAGUCCCCAGUACCUCCAUUAAAAUAAAUAAAUAAAUAAAUAAAUAAACCUAAUUACUUCUCCCCCCCCCAAAGUAAACAAACAAAUAUAUAAAACUUUCAAAAAAGAAAUUCAGGUGAGAGGUGACGAUGACUCAAACAGCUGUGGAAAAGAUGGAACACGGAUGGAUUCUGGCUGUAGUCUGGCCCCAACUUCAUUUGCCUCCAGAAUUGAUCUAACCCGAUUCAGAUAGUGGUUCAUACUCCAUUUUUAAUGUCUCCUAUCAUUGCUCAUUAAAUUAAGGUCUCUAAGUCCUCCUUGCCUUUUCUAAAUUACUCUCCAGGUCUUCAGUCCACGUAAAAAUGACAGUUCUUUACUUCAGACACCAGUGGCCACAGUACCAGGUACUGUCUGUGAAAUUACAAGGGAAGUAGUCCCUGAUUUGUUUAAUUGGGAAGACAGUGUUGGCAAAGAGAGGCAGAGCAGAGACAAAGAGCCAAGAGGCUCAAAAGGAAAAGCAAGGAAACUGUGCGAAGCAUUUUCAGCAUAGCGCAAGUCAGUUCUCUGAAAUGAUAGCACAUGCGUUUCUGGGUCAGAUGAGAUGAAGAUAAACAAAUCUCACUUUGGACAAGUAACAUAAGCUCUCUGAGUUUUGGUUUCCUUAUCUGCGAGAUGGUUAUAAUAAAAUAAUUCUUGCUCUAUCUAU
Long non-coding RNA from Camelus dromedarius (Arabian camel), 2313 nucleotides. RefSeq lists it as uncharacterized. Lineage: Eukaryota; Metazoa; Chordata; Mammalia; Artiodactyla; Camelidae. The record is from RefSeq and is a predicted model, not a curated record. The transcript is spliced from 4 exons.